RNAcentral lists this transfer RNA (76 nucleotides) under Ruminococcus sp. RNAcentral's name for it is "tRNA-Lys". It matches the Rfam family "tRNA". From Rfam's summary of the family: Transfer RNA (tRNA) molecules are approximately 80 nucleotides in length. The record is from RNAcentral. Lineage: Bacteria; Bacillati; Bacillota; Clostridia; Eubacteriales; Oscillospiraceae. RNAcentral also lists the same sequence under 9 other names.
GAUUCAUUAGCUCAGUUGGCAGAGCACUUGACUUUUAAUCAAGGUGUCCGGGGUUCGAAUCCCCGAUGAGUCACCA